GAUGAACGCUGGCGGCGUGCCUAAUACAUGCAAGUCGAGCGAACGGACGAGAAGCUUGCUUCUCUGAUGUUAGCGGCGGACGGGUGAGUAACACGUGGAUAACCUACCUAUAAGACUGGGAUAACUUCGGGAAACCGGAGCUAAUACCGGAUAAUAUUUUGAACCGCAUGGUUCAAAAGUGAAAGACGGUCUUGCUGUCACUUAUAGAUGGAUCCGCGCUGCAUUAGCUAGUUGGUAAGGUAACGGCUUACCAAGGCAACGAUGCAUAGCCGACCUGAGAGGGUGAUCGGCCACACUGGAACUGAGACACGGUCCAGACUCCUACGGGAGGCAGCAGUAGGGAAUCUUCCGCAAUGGGCGAAAGCCUGACGGAGCAACGCCGCGUGAGUGAUGAAGGUCUUCGGAUCGUAAAACUCUGUUAUUAGGGAAGAACAUAUGUGUAAGUAACUGUGCACAUCUUGACGGUACCUAAUCAGAAAGCCACGGCUAACUACGUGCCAGCAGCCGCGGUAAUACGUAGGUGGCAAGCGUUAUCCGGAAUUAUUGGGCGUAAAGCGCGCGUAGCGGUUUUUUAAGUCUGAUGUGAAAGCCCACGGCUCAACCGUGGAGGGUCAUUGGAAACUGGAAAACUUGAGUGCAGAAGAGGAAAGUGGAAUUCCAUGUGUAGCGGUGAAAUGCGCAGAGAUAUGGAGGAACACCAGUGGCGAAGGCGACUUUCUGGUCUGUAACUGACGCUGAUGUGCGAAAGCGUGGGGAUCAAACAGGAUUAGAUACCCUGGUAGUCCACGCCGUAAACGAUGAGUGCUAAGUGUUAGGGGGUUUCCGCCCCUUAGUGCUGCAGCUAACGCAUUAAGCACUCCGCCUGGGGAGUACGACCGCAAGGUUGAAACUCAAAGGAAUUGACGGGGACCCGCACAAGCGGGUGGAGCAUGUGGUUUAAUUCGAAGCAACGCGAAGAACCUUACCAAAUCUUGACAUCCUUUGACAACUCUAGAGAUAGAGCCUUCCCCUUCGGGGGACAAAGUGACAGGUGGUGCAUGGUUGUCGUCAGCUCGUGUCGUGAGAUGUUGGGUUAAGUCCCGCAACGAGCGCAACCCUUAAGCUUAGUUGCCAUCAUUAAGUUGGGCACUCUAAGUUGACUGCCGGUGACAAACCGGAGGAAGGUGGGGAUGACGUCAAAUCAUCAUGCCCCUUAUGAUUUGGGCUACACACGUGCUACAAUGGACAAUACAAAGGGCAGCGAAACCGCGAGGUCAAGCAAAUCCCAUAAAGUUGUUCUCAGUUCGGAUUGUAGUCUGCAACUCGACUACAUGAAGCUGGAAUCGCUAGUAAUCGUAGAUCAGCAUGCUACGGUGAAUACGUUCCCGGGUCU
Molecule: ribosomal RNA, 1372 nt
Filed under: uncultured bacterium
Lineage: Bacteria
Description: bacterial SSU rRNA
Rfam family: Bacterial small subunit ribosomal RNA
Source: RNAcentral